Molecule: ribosomal RNA, 440 nt
Filed under: uncultured bacterium
Lineage: Bacteria
Description: partial 16S ribosomal RNA
Rfam family: Bacterial small subunit ribosomal RNA
Source: RNAcentral
CCUACGGGAGGCAGCAGUGGGGAAUAUUGCACAAUGGGGGAAACCCUGAUGCAGCGACGCCGCGUGAGUGAAGAAGUAUUUCGGUACGUAAAGCCCUAUCAGCAGGGAAGAAAAUGACGGUACCUGACUAAGAAGCCCCGGCUAACUACGUGCCAGCAGCCGCGGUAAUACGUAGGGGGCAAGCGUUAACCGGAUUUACUGGGUGUAAAGGGAGCGUAGACGGCAGCGCAAGUCUGGAGUGAAAUCCCAUGGCUUAACCAUGGAACUGCUUUGGAAACUGUGCAGCUAGAGUGCAGGAGAGGUAAGCGGAAUUCGUAGUGUAGCGGUGAAAUGCGUAGAUAUUAGGAGGAACACCAGUGGCGAAGGCGGCUUACUGGACUGUAACUGACGUUGAGGCUCGAAAGCGUGGGGAGCAAACAGGAUUAGAUACCCGUGUAGUC